Nerophis ophidion (straightnose pipefish) is the source of this 620-nucleotide long non-coding RNA. RefSeq lists it as uncharacterized. The transcript is spliced from 2 exons. NCBI's taxonomy places the organism in Eukaryota, Metazoa, Chordata, Actinopteri, Syngnathiformes, Syngnathidae. The record is from RefSeq and is a predicted model, not a curated record.
UGAGCUGAUGGCUGGCUGAGCUGGUUGCUGGUGUAACAAAGUGUGACGUCCACCCAGAUGUUGUAAGGGUGAUGACGAGCUAGUCCAGCAUCAAUUUCUUUGUAGCAAAAACAAACAAGGCUCGAGUAAACACGUCCAAAUAACACACGUCAGGACUCGACCUGUCACGUUCACGCCCUCACAGACAGUCGAAAAUUAUUUCUAACUGUCAGGACUGUGACAUGGCUUUAUUUCGCUUCUUCUACGCAAAGGAUGAUUCGAACGGGCGAGACGUGAACAUGUUAUCUUUGUUUUAGCCGGCUAUCAGCCAUGGACCUCAAUGAAGAAAAGAUGACAGCACGCAGACGAGACAGAAACUUCAAGGACCUCAACGAAGAUAAAAUGACAACACGCAGGCGAGGCGGAGACAAGGCAAAAUCACAAGGCAUUCCAUCACAUACUGUGCAUCCUGGAUCUGCUUUGCAUAAUAUAUGUGACCACUCCUUUUAGAGGCGGCCUCAGUGAUGUUGACUAUGGAACUCUGAAUAAAAAGAGGGACACGGGAGCUGAACAUUAGAGCGUAGGGCGAGACUGGGACUAAGUGUUCAGCGCCGUGCGUUCUCCUCAUGAGCUAAAUUGAA